Molecule: long non-coding RNA, 1275 nt
Organism: Triticum aestivum (bread wheat)
Lineage: Eukaryota; Viridiplantae; Streptophyta; Magnoliopsida; Poales; Poaceae
Exons: 2
Source: RefSeq, a predicted model, not a curated record
CCUAGAGCCCAUGCGCGAGCACACGUGCCCGCGGCGCCGUCCACGCGUUAGCGGCGGUUCCAGCGCGGCAGCUCCUCCCCGCAGCUAUUUAAGCUAUCUCCGGCCUCGUCCAAGCUCAUCUCCAGCCUUUCCUCACUCCUAGCAACCUCCCCAGCCAUCCGCCCGAGCCUCCGGAGCUCCCGUUGCUGUCCAUUGCCGCCAUGGCUGCCGCACGGCCUCGGCUAAAUUAGCCCGAGCCGAGCCCUCCCCCUCCUUUCUGUCGCCACCAGAGAGCUCCCUGGACCUCCUCUAGCCUCCCCAGAACCCCAGCUCUCCUUCCCAGCCUCCGGAGCCCUCCCUUGCCAUGGAGCCGCCGCCCUCUGUCUCAGCCGUCGCGACCAACUCCGGCGGUCCCCGAGGCCAGCGCGGCCACCCACGAGCGCGGGAUGGAGAGGUGCGUCCAUCCCCAGCAGCGCCCUAUCCUCCCGUGGCCUCCCAUCGCCGGCGCAGGUGAGGCCGCAGCCGUCGCUGCCCUCUGUUAUUCGCAUCGGGAGGAAGAAGAAGGAGCGAGGAGAGAGAGAGAGAGAGAGAGGAGGGAGAUGACCAGCAGCGUGGGCCCCGCGGCCCACCAAUCAGCCUCCUAGCUGACGGCCCCGUUUUGACCCUGCCCCGCCACGUCAGCAUAGGUCCCUCGGAGAAAAACAUCCAUAUCUUUUUAUCAAUAACUCCAAAUAAGGUGAAACCAACGCUCACUUCUUUGUCUCGUCGAGCCCGUCCUGUUGGUUUCAUUUUCACUAUGGUUUGAUACUGUGAAAAUGACCAUUUUGCCCUUGCCCAAAUCAGCCCCCUUCGGGAGAGAACGUUUUUCGGCGAUUCUUUCCGCAAGUUUCUUGCACGUCUUCCCGGAGUCUCCGUCAUCCCCAGGAAAGCCGCAAUACCCACUUACAUGAUAGUCAUGCAGUAGCCAUGGUUUUCAACUUGAAUCUUUACUAAAUGUUUGCUUGUUGAAAAGUUGGUUAUCGCUGUUCCAGUGAUGUUUAGAUUUGCAUGUUCACUUUUGUGCUAUGUUGUCUUGUACUCUAUUAUCAUGUUCUACCCGCUAGUAUUUCCUUUCAUAUGUUUAUGCUUGCUAGUAGUACAUGUUGAUGUUGGUGAUGGUCAUGCUAGUCAGUGUGCCAUGCUCAGUGGAUAUGAUUUAUUGUUGAUAUGGUUGAUAGUUAUGUGAUACCCUCAUGAUUAUGUUGAUAUCAUGUUCAUGUAUUUUAUCAUGGCUCAAUAUAUUUUCAUUCAAGUUAA